RNAcentral lists this long non-coding RNA (1117 nucleotides) under Homo sapiens (human). RNAcentral describes it as "HSALNT0103340". The stretch from base 271 to 418 matches the Rfam family "Metazoan signal recognition particle RNA". Lineage: Eukaryota; Metazoa; Chordata; Mammalia; Primates; Hominidae. The record is from RNAcentral.
AGAGAUGGAAAAAGCCGCUGGUCGCUCUCAAAGCGGUGUCAGUUUUGGACAAAAAGGGUUAUGUUUUCCUGUGGAACAGAAGCUUGUAGUUCACCUCCCUUGGGAGGGAAAGACCUGGUUUCCUACAGCCAAAGAGGAGCCGAGGGGCCGGGCUCGGUGGCUCAUGCCUGUAAUCCCAGCACAUUGGGAGGCCGAGGUAGGCGGAUCAGCUGAGUUCAGGAGCUCGAGAUCAUGGCGGAAACCCUGUCUCUACUACAAACAGGAAAAUUAGCUGGGCGCGGUGGCGCUCGCCUGUAAUCCCAGCUACUUGGGAGGCUGAGGCAAGAGAAUCGCUUGAACCCGGGAGGCAGAGGUUGCAGUGAUUCGAGAUUGCGCCACUGCACUGCAGCCUGGGCGAUAGAGCGAUAUUCCGUCUCAAAACAAAACAUUAUAGAGGAGCCUAGGAGACAUUGGCAAUGCGGACAAUUUCAGGGCCAUCCAAAUCUUAGGCCUCCGUAAAGAUCUGGCUUGAAGCUCUCUCCUUCGUCCCUUCCUCUUCUGCAACCACCUGCCUCCACCUAUCUCCCGACUCGUUUUCUUCACCACCUCUUGUCACCUUCACUUCCACUUUCUCCCAUUCCCGUUGAUUCAGUUCCACGGCUUCCUCCUACCUAAAUGUCCUCCAGCAGCUCAGCUCACUACAGUUUCUGCAGCUCCACUUUCUAGGUUGGCGUUCUCAAGCCUGAAUGAUAAUCGUCUGAGGGAGACCUUUCAAUUGUGAAGAUUCCCAUCUUUCUCCCUAUCCGGUGAUUAUCGGUCCACUAUGGAGCUGUCUCAGGAACGGAACUGCAGCGUCCCUGAGACGAAGCCACUGCUGAGUUUCCUGAUCAUGAUGAUCCACUGAAGAGUUUGCUAGAGCAGUGACUGUGACAGCAUACACUUAGGUUUUUUUUUCUUUUUUCUUUCUUUUCUUUUCUUUCUUACUCUUUCUUUGUUUCUUUCUUUCGUUCGUUCUUUCUUUCUCUCUCUCUCUCCUUUUUUUUUUUUUUGAAACUGAUGUUUAUUUCCCGUCAAUGUUAUUUCCAUGUUGUCUAAGAGCCUGUGCAAGAAUAGCUUAAGACCAUUCAGUGGUUGCUUC